UUCCGGUUGAUCCUGCCGGACCCUACUGCUAUCGGGGGAGGACUAAAACAUGCAAGUCGUGCGCCUCCAAGCCAUGGUGGAGACGCGGCGUACAGCUCAGUAACACGUGGCUAACCCACCCUUGAGACGGAGAAAACCCCGGGAAACUGGGGUUAAUCCCUGAUAGGAGAAGACACCUGGAAUGGGUCUUUUCCCAAAAGGCGCUUAGACCAUGCUUCUAGACGCCGCUCAAGGACGGGGCCGCGGCCGAUCAGGUUGUUGGUGAGGCAAUGGCUUACCAAGCCUAUAACCGGUACGGGCCGUGAGAGCGGGAGCCCGGAGAUGGGCACUGAGACAAGGGCCCAGGCCCUACGGGGCGCAGCAGUUGCGAAAACUCGCCAAUGCACGAAAGUGUGAGCGGGCUACCCCGAGUGCCGUCCGCUGAGGGCGGCUUUUCCCUGAUGUAAGGAGCCGGGGGAAUAAGGAGAGGGCAAGUCUGGUGUCAGCCGCCGCGGUAAUACCAGCUCUCCGAGUGGUAGGGAUGAUUAUUGGGCUUAAAGCGUCCGUAGCCGGCCUGGCAAGUCUUCCGUUAAAUCCAACGAUUCAAUCGUUGGACUGCGGGAGAUACUGUUAGGCUAGGGGGCGGGAGAGGCCGACGGUAUUCUCGGGGUAGGGGUAAAAUCCUAUAAUCCCGAGAAGACAACCAGUGGCGAAGGCGGUCGGCUAGAACGCGCCCGACGGUGAGGAACGAAAGCUGGGGGAGCGAACCGGAUUAGAUACCCGGGUAGUCCCAGCUGUAAACGAUGCGGGCUAGGUGUUGGAGCGGCUACGGGCCGCUUCAGUGCCGCAGAGAAACCAUUAAGCCCGCCGCCUGGGGAGUACGGCCGCAAGGCUGAAACUUAAAGGAAUUGGCGGGGGAGCACCACCAGGGGUGAAGCUUGCGGUUUAAUUGGAUUCAACGCCGGGA
RNAcentral lists this ribosomal RNA (946 nucleotides) under uncultured archaeon. Its description in RNAcentral is "bacterial SSU rRNA". It matches the Rfam family "Archaeal small subunit ribosomal RNA", at positions 1 to 923 of the family's 1478-position model. The record is from RNAcentral.